Molecule: RNA transcript, 6484 nt
Organism: Cucurbita pepo subsp. pepo (vegetable marrow)
Lineage: Eukaryota; Viridiplantae; Streptophyta; Magnoliopsida; Cucurbitales; Cucurbitaceae
Gene: SDG25
Gene name: SET domain protein 25
Source: RefSeq, a predicted model, not a curated record
CAUAAAUAUUAUCGCGUUGGGUUUGGGUUGUGGAGGAUCCAUUGGUCGAUAGAGAGACGGGGAAGAAUCGACUUCUACCCUCUGCCCUAGGCUCCAUGCUCGUCGUCCACCCACAGACUUUUCAUUUUUAGUCAAAUUCAGGUUUCUACCCUGUAUAUUCUUUGGACAUGGUUUCCUCCACAGGACUUCUCCAUGAGUAUGAUGAUUCCUUAUUUUCACGAGAAAGGCAUAAAGUGACAGAGAUUCAACAUCUAGAUCCAGAUACAUUAAGCUGUGAGUGUAAAUAUGAUUGUUUCCCCGUAUCUUCACAGCUUAGCAGAGAUGGACGCUCAUUCUGCAGGUGCAGGGAUAUUGCUUGCAUAUCUUCAUGUUCCAUUGAUAUUGAUGAAAAAAAUGGUUCAUAUUCAUCAGUAGAUAUGAGCUGUCAGUUAAACGGAACUAGCCCUGAUCUUCCAGAAUGUUGCAGUUCAGACGGCUCCUCAUUCCAAGAUAAGGGUUUCUCUGGGUAUUCUUUGGCUACUUGUGUAAGUGGUUGGAUGUAUGUUAAUGAACAAGGUCAAAUGUGUGGCCCUUAUAUUCAAGAACAGCUUCAUGAAGGUUUAUCUACUGGUUUCUUGCCAGAUGAGCUUCUUGUAUAUCCUGUUUUAAAUGGAGCUUUGACCAAUCCUGUGCCACUCAAGUACUUUAAGCAGUUUCCUGAUCAUGUUGCAACUGGUUUUGCUUAUUUGAGUGUGGACAACUCCAACAUGGGUACUAAUGGGGCUCAUUCUGUUCCUUGUAAAAAUGAUUUAGCUAUGCAUAGGCAAGAGGGCUUGGUGGAGUAUGCGAAUUCACAGACUCUUUGUCAUGAGUUACAAUCUGGCCCUCUAAGUCUUGGAUAUGAAAAUGGUGGCUGUAAACAGGCUUCAAAUUCUGAAGUUUUUUGCUUUAGUACUUCAAAUCAUUCAUCGUCAGUUGAGAGAUCAUGUUGGUUGAUUGAGGAUCAUACAGGGAGGAAACAUGGACCCUAUUCGCUUCUACAAUUAUAUUCUUGGCAUCAGCAUGGAUACUUGAAGGACUCAGUUAUGAUAUACCAUAUUGAAAGCAAAUUUAGACCCUUCACAUUAUUUUCUGCGGUGAAUGCAUGGAAAGCUGAGAUACCUCCCCCUCACUUCUCAUCUGAUCUCAAAGCCAAUGAGAGUAGCCCUUUAUUGAAAUUUAUAUCUGAAACUUCUGAAGAAGUUUCAUCCCAACUGCAUUCUGGAAUAAUGAAAGCAGCUCGCAAAGUGGUGUUUGAUGAGAUUGUUGGCAACAUCAUUGCAGAUUAUAUCACCAUGAAGAAAACUGAAAGACAAAUAAAGGUUGAACAAAACAACCAAACUACGAAGGCUUGCUCUCUGGACAGCAGAAUGUCAGAAGUUACUAGAGGAGGGGAUCUUCCUGCUGAUUCUAUGCCAGAAGCACAAGGCUUCUUUAGUGUUCCUGAGAAAGUUUCUACUGAUGCUGUUCCUGUUCAGUCUCUUAAAAUGACCGGCGGUGUUGAUAAUUUUAGAGAGGUGCAUGCAGUUAUUUGCCGAAUGCUUUUUGAUUACUCCUUACAGGUAGUUUGGAAUGCUGUUUCUUAUGAUAUGGUGGCAGAGUAUUCAUCUGCAUGGCGUAGCAAAAGACUUUGGUCUUAUCGUCCUCACUAUAAUUUAGCUUCUAGUGGGCAUAGUGAUCGUACCAAGAAGAUUGAAAAAAUACCUGCUGAAGCUGGUGUCAAUUGCCUAUCAGUCGUGGAGUUUAAGAGAGCACCAACAGAAAUCUGUGUGCACUCACCUGCUAUAUCUUUGUCAAUUCCUUCUAGGCCAACAUCUCAUUCUGGUUGUCAUAGGCCAAAGGAAAACUUGAAAUGGAUGGUGGAAUGCCUCGAAAAGGAGCUUCAUGCCUCUGCAAAGGUAUCUUUGUUUGAGUAUGUUCGGGAUAUUCUUGUGGAAGAAGUGAUGAGCUCAUGUAACUCCUCAACAGAUGUCAAAUUAAAUAAGGCUGCUCUUGAUAUGCCUGUUCAAUGUUCUAGUAUUAACAAUAACAAGGACUCCUUUGGUGAACUGCAUUGUGAUUCAAAUGAUACACGUGGAGAUAGAAAUUCAUGUGAACUUAAACUAUCUCCGUUGGAAGAGGACAAUCCGUCCAAAGAUGCAGCUCUAAAUUCUGCUGCUAAUUCAUUAAAUAGAGUGUUCAAAGAAGUCUGUACAAAUGAAGGUUGUGCUUUUAGUGAAGAUUUCAAUGAAUUACCAGCUCCUGGUCUCGAGGAAAAUUCUACCUUUCUCAUUCCAUCUCUUGCUUGUAAAUUUCGUCCUUCAAGCUCAAAUAAGUGUUCUCCUAAGAUUGAGGGGUACAUUAUGCUUGCAAUAUGCAGACAGAAACUGCACGAUGUUGUUCUUAAGGAAUGGACAUCAUCAUACAAAGAUGAUCUUCUUCGCCAGUUUAUUACAUCAUGGAUUGCAUCGAAGAAACAUUGCAAUCCUAAUGGAAUUGUGGAAGGAGCAUGUGAAGCCUCUAAAGUACCAGACAAAUUAAGGGAAGGAUCAAAACGCUUCUUGGAAUCUUCUCUUGCAGCUGGUAAUUAUACUUAUUACCGGAAGAAAUCAUCAAAGAAGAAGUUAGGAUCUUCAGAUUAUGCUACUGAGGGUAGCUCUGUUGUACGAAAUCAGCCUUCUGAAAAUUUGAAGAAAGAAAAAGUUUCUGCUGAUUUGUGUGAGACUACAGACACUGAGAUUGCUUCUUUGUCACUGAAAAACAUUACAAAAAGUAAAAGGCAGAAGGACUUGUCUCGCAAUACCACCUGCAAACGGACUUCUGCAGAAGUUACGUUAUCCAGUAGCCAUUCUUCUGGGAAAACCAUAUGUGGCACCAAAAAAUUAAAAAUUUCACCUAUAGUUAAAGAUGAUAAUGUCAACAAGGAUUCCAUGAAACAUGGGAAAGGGAGAAUGAUAGGUUCGCCUUUGGUGCACAAAAAUGUUGAUAAGGUUAUGAAUAAAUGUGAUCAUGGAGUUGGUGCCCGGGAAAGGCUUUCUGUGAAUGUGUCAAAGUUGAAAAGGAAACAGAAGGUUGACGAGUUAUCAUUCUCUCGUAAUAAGGUCUCGGCAAUAGCAGGUGAUGUUAGCAAGCAAGCAGCAAGUAAGAAGGGUGUAGCUCAAAAGGAAAAGUCUGAUAAAUCUAGGAAGUUAAACCUCUGUAUUAGAUCUAAUGGUUGUGCCCGCUCAUCAAUUAAUGGAUGGGAAUGGCGUAGAUGGACUCUAAAAGCAAGUCCUGCUGAGAGAGCUCGUAAUAGGGGUAUUCAAUAUUUCAAUUCUGAGCUAUUAGGACCUGAUGUCACUACAUCUCAUUUGUUAAAUGGCAAAGGCCUUUCUGCACGAACAAAUAGGGUGAAGGUGCGGAAUCUUCUUGCUGCUGCAGAUGGUGCCGAUCUUUUAAAAGCCUCUCAAUUAAAGGCAAGAAAAAAACGCCUACGCUUUCAACGUAGUAAGAUUCAUGACUGGGGUCUAGUUGCCCUAGAGCCAAUUGAAGCAGAGGAUUUUGUAAUUGAAUACGUUGGGGAACUAAUUCGUCCUCGGAUAUCGGAUAUAAGGGAACGCCAGUAUGAGAAGAUGGGAAUUGGAAGCAGUUAUCUUUUUAGACUUGAUGAUGGUUAUGUGGUUGAUGCUACAAAGCGUGGGGGUGUUGCACGAUUUAUAAACCAUUCUUGUGAUCCUAAUUGCUACACCAAAGUUAUUACUGUUGAAGGCCAGAAGAAAAUUUUCAUCUAUGCAAAACGACAUAUAUCUGCUGGUGAAGAAAUUACGUACAAUUACAAAUUUCCUUUGGAGGAGAAGAAAAUUCCUUGUAAUUGCCGUUCAAGGAGGUGUCGUGGAUCACUAAACUAGGAAAUUUUGUUGCACUUUCCAGUGGACAUGAAGUCUUGUCAAAAUUAUGUGGAUGAAGAAGCGUGAUAAAACUUGGUCCUUUCUGAGGUCUAAAUUAUCUACCUUUGCCAUGCGAUGAAGGGUUGCAUGUUGCAGCUGCAUGCUUUUCAGCGCACUCUGUCAUGCUACAAAUCUUCCAACUAAAGUUGGUUGAGGCUAUUGAUUAUGAUUGUUGGUAGAGGCCGGAUGACUGUUACACGGCAGACAAUUUUGCCAUUCCAGUGAUGAAUUUCUGACCUUGUUCAUUCUUAUAGAUAUCUCUAUAUUGCAGAUGAGUCUCUCCUCUUAGAUACUGUAAAGUCAAUUUUUGUUUUGCUUACACGAUCCUUGGAUAUUGAUUUUUUGUACAAACAUGUUUGAUUUGUUAUUCAAUAAAAGAUAAAAUGAGUAUGCUGACCAACCUUGGGAGUGAUACCAUCGUAAAAGUCAGAGGAAGUUGAUAUUUACGAAAAAUAAUUGCCAAGAUUCAUCCACCCCUCCACAAAAAAAGGAGGAUAAAUUCCGAGCAUCUGAUUUUACAUUGACCACUGGUUCCAUAAUCGCAAUAUACACAUUUUUGAACAUUCAGAACAUGCAUAUUGUGAGCGGGCAACGUUUUGAUUUUUUUUGGCGUCUUCAUUAUUGUUCUUCUAUCGAGACUAGUUUGAAGCUCCUUGUUGGGUUUUCCACAGAAGUUUGUUUCAAGUAAAAGAACACAAGUACUUGUCAAUCUUCAUGGAAAAACAGUUCUUCAGGAGUAUAAAGCCUAGAACUUGUGUUAUUGAGACGAUUGUGCUCUUUUUGGCAAACUUUCAGAUACUUGUGGACGCAUGUCAUGAAGCUUUGCUUCCAAACAAUGAUUUUUAUCAUUAGCAAUCUUAGACACACUCGAAAUAGUUGAAAUUUAUUAGUUUUAUUUACCAUGUCGGAUAUUAGGUUGAGAAGCAUUAAGUUGCAGCUAUAUUUUUAGUGGAUUCUUCUUUUUAUGGUUUCUUACCAUCGCAGGAAUUGAUACCCAAAGUGGAACCUUCGCUGCUGAGAGAGCUGGGGUUGGCUUUUGGCUCUCUGGUAUGACUUCUCUUCCCUUCAAACCCCAACCCAUUCAUUUCUUUGGUCUCGGUCUGGUCCUUUUUCACAUUUCAUCUGUUGGGCGUUGUAUCAAUAAUCCAUCCAUACCUUAAUUAAUUGGCAUCAUCAUGGUCAAUUUUUUUUAUUAAUUUAUGGGAACAUCAAUCAACAAAUUCUUGAUUUAUGGUAACCGUGUCAUGGGAAGGGAAAUUUGCUUGGACACGACCAAUAUUUCUGUCAAUAUUUUAAAAAACGGAAGGGUUAGGCAUAAAUAUAUGAGAGCAAUAUAUUUUUCCAAAAAUAAUGAUGAAAUAUGAAUAUUAGAAUCUGACCUUACAAUUGUUGGAACUAAAUGUGUGUAUAUUAGAAAUGUUAACCAUACAAACAAUGACCUGCAAGUUAUUUUCAGCAUUGCCCCUUUUUGUAAUUAUAUAUAUCUUCACAACGACAUUUCCAUUAUUUGGGAAUUCUAUAUUUACGGAUAUAUAACCAUCUAAUCACGGUAUAGCCGCCAAUGUAUUUGGGAGUCCGGUGAUGAUGAGUCUGAUGUGACUUGUCAAGAAAUUAUAGUCAAGACACAAAAAUGUUCAGAAUUGUGCUCAUCAUGAAGCAUAGUAAUGGACCGACGGCCAUGCAGCAAUGACUUGUGGACUUGUGCAAUUCUGACUACCACGAUUGUCAUUCACAUCUCUUACCUUAUUAAAUUUUUAAGCAUUGCAAAAGCCUGGAAACUUCAGUUACAAAUGAUUGCCAUGGGAACUAUAAACAUCUGUCCCUCGCCCAAUUAAAUUGGAGAUUAUGACGUCAAUUUGGUGUAAGGUGGGUUAGAAAUUUGGGAAAGAAUUUCAUUUUCUAAGUUAUAUCCAAAUUCUAAGCUUUGGUGAAGUCUUCAUGGAACUAAAGUACAUCAUUUAUAUCUCAACGUUCUUUUCAAGUGACAUUCAAGGAACCAAAAUUUUAAAAUCCACUAAAAACAGGGUUUUGUUGCUGUCUUAUAUCCACUUUCUUUUGUCUUGUUGGUUUGAAUUUAUUACACUAUGUACUAUCGCCUGUGGCCUGAAAUUUUGUAGAGUUGGAAGUUAGAUUAUUUAGUUUAUUUUCAUGUUGUAAGCUAAAGAAAUGGCACUCGUUUUGAAAACAAAAACCUCGAUAAAACUUCUAGGCCUCCACAUGGAACUCAGAUCUCAAGAAAUGUAAACUUGUGGUUUAGGACAGAAGCCCAAAUGGUUACUCAGGCCUUUGGUUUGUUGGCACCUCUCCUUUGCUUCGUCCGAGAAAUUUUUGAUUUUGGUGAUUACUUUCUACUUUUCGUACAGGCUUUGCGAAUUGGCUCUGUGGCUGUGGCUGUGGCUUGGCUGUGGCUGUGGCUGUGACUGUGGCUGUGGCCUUGGUUUGUGUACCUUAAGGUUGUCUCAUUUCUAUAUCUAGUAUAUAUGUGCUGAUGUUCUUUAUGAACCCUUAUGCUUUAUAUUGUUAGGAGUUGGUAUGAAUACAAAACUCUUUACUUGCAUUGA